CGGCGUCGAGCGGCGGACGGGUGAGUAAUGCCUAGGAAAUUGCCUUGAUGUGGGGGAUAACCAUUGGAAACGAUGGCUAAUACCGCAUAAUGCUACGGGCCAAAGAGGGGGACCUUCGGGCCUCUCGCGUCAAGAUAUGCCUAGGUGGGAUUAGCUAGUUGGUGAGGUAAUGGCUCACCAAGGCGACGAUCCCUAGCUGGUCUGAGAGGAUGAUCAGCCACACUGGAACUGAGACACGGUCCAGACUCCUACGGGAGGCAGCAGUGGGGAAUAUUGCACAAUGGGCGAAAGCCUGAUGCAGCCAUGCCGCGUGUAUGAAGAAGGCCUUCGGGUUGUAAAGUACUUUCAGUUGUGAGGAAGGGGGUGUCGUUAAUAGCGGCAUCUCUUGACGUUAGCAACAGAAGAAGCACCGGCUAACUCCGUGCCAGCAGCCGCGGUAAUACGGAGGGUGCGAGCGUUAAUCGGAAUUACUGGGCGUAAAGCGCAUGCAGGUGGUUCAUUAAGUCAGAUGUGAAAGCCCGGGGCUCAACCUCGGAACUGCAUUUGAAACUGGUGAACUAGAGUACUGUAGAGGGGGGUAGAAUUUCAGGUGUAGCGGUGAAAUGCGUAGAGAUCUGAAGGAAUACCAGUGGCGAAGGCGGCCCCCUGGACAGAUACUGACACUCAGAUGCGAAAGCGUGGGGAGCAAACAGGAUUAGAUACCCUG
RNAcentral lists this ribosomal RNA (706 nucleotides) under Vibrio pomeroyi. Its description in RNAcentral is "bacterial SSU rRNA". It matches the Rfam family "Bacterial small subunit ribosomal RNA", at positions 86 to 789 of the family's 1533-position model. Lineage: Bacteria; Pseudomonadati; Pseudomonadota; Gammaproteobacteria; Vibrionales; Vibrionaceae. The record is from RNAcentral.